GACGAACGCUGGCGGCGUGCCUAAUACAUGCAAGUAGGACGCAGUUGCGAACGGGUGAGUAACGCGUAGGUAACUACCUAUUAGAGGGGGAUAACUAUUGGAAACGAUAGCUAAUACCGCAUACUAGUAGAUGUACCUGCGUUGUAUUAGCUAGUAGGUAGGGUAAUGGCCUACCUAGGCAACGAUACAUAGCCGAGCUGGGAGGGGGAUCGGCCAAACAUGGAAUUGGAAAAGGCCCAGGAGCCUACGGGAGGGAGAAGGAGGGAAAUUUGGGAAAUGGGGGGAACCCUGAACGAGCAAAGCCGCGUGAGUGAAGAAGGUUUUCGGAUCGGAAAGCUAUGUUGUUAAGGAAGCGGUACUUAACCAGAAAGGGACGGCUAACUACGUGCCAGCAGCCGCGGUAAUUC
Molecule: ribosomal RNA, 407 nt
Filed under: uncultured bacterium
Lineage: Bacteria
Description: partial 16S ribosomal RNA
Rfam family: Bacterial small subunit ribosomal RNA
Source: RNAcentral